This 341-nucleotide unclassified non-coding RNA is filed under the name uncultured fungus. Its description in RNAcentral is "partial contains small subunit ribosomal RNA, internal transcribed spacer 1, and 5.8S ribosomal RNA". The stretch from base 1 to 73 matches the Rfam family "Eukaryotic small subunit ribosomal RNA", at positions 1759 to 1831 of the family's 1831-position model. Lineage: Eukaryota; Fungi. The record is from RNAcentral.
GCAAACUUGGUCAUUUAGAGGAAGUAAAAGUCGUAACAAGGUUUCCGUAGGUGAACCUGCGGAAGGAUCAUUACUGAAUUUAAAUUCCGGGGUUGUAGCUGGUCAUUUAUUUGGCAUGUGCACACCUUGGUAUAAUCCAAAUUCAAUCACACCUUUGUGCACCAUUCCAUGGAAUUGACGGGGUAAUGAAGGAUUUUGCUUACAGCUCUUUCUUUCUUGCUCAAUAUUUCCAUGUCUUUUUGUAAACACUGUUGUCUCAGAAUGUCAAUUGCGUUGAACGCAUCUUUAAUACAACUUUCAGCAACGGAUCUCUUGGCUCUCGCAUCGAUGAAGAACGCAGC